GUAGUUAGCCGGAGCUUCCUCCUUGGGUACCGUCAUUUCUUUCGUCCCCAAGGACAGAGGUUUACAAUCCGAAAACCUUCUUCCCUCACGCGGCGUUGCUGGGUCAGGGUUUCCCCCAUUGCCCAAUAUUCCCCACUGCUGCCUCCCGUAGGAGUCUGGACCGUAUCUCAGUUCCAGUGUGGCCGAUCACCCUCUCAGGUCGGCUACCCAUCGUCGACUUGGUAGGCCGUUACCCUACCAACUAUCUAAUGGGACGCGAGCCCAUCCAUCAGCGAUAAAUCUUUGACCCCUCUACCAUGCGAUAGUGUGGUCUUAUGCGGUAUUAGCAGUCGUUUCCAACUGUUGUCCCCCUCUGAUGGCCAGGUUGCUCACGCGUUACUCACCCGUCCGCCACUAAGUCAUAUUAGCUUCCAUCCGAAAACUUCCACUUAUAUGCUUCGUUCGACUUGCAUGUGUUAAGCACGCCGCCAGCGUUCGUCCUGAGCCAGAAUCAAACUCUGA
This 501-nucleotide ribosomal RNA is filed under the name uncultured bacterium. Its description in RNAcentral is "partial 16S ribosomal RNA". The record is from RNAcentral.